GAUGAACGCUGGCGGCGUGCCUAAUACAUGCAAGUCGAGCGAACAGACGAGGAGCUUGCUCCUCUGACGUUAGCGGCGGACGGGUGAGUAACACGUGGAUAACCGACCUAUAAGACUGGGAUAACUUCGGGAAACCGGAGCUAAUACCGGAUAAUAUAUUGAACCGCAUGGUUCAAUAGUGAAAGACGGUUUUGCUGUCACUUAUAGAUGGAUCCGCGCCGCAUUAGCUAGUUGGUGAGGGAACGGCUUACCACGGCGACGAUGCGUAGCCGACCUGAGAGGGUGAUCGAGCACACUGGAACUGAGACACGGUCCAGACUCCUACGGGAGGCAGCAGUAGGGAAUCUUCCGCAAUGGGCGAAAGCCUGACGGAGCAACGCCGCGUGAGUGAUGAAGGUCUUCGGAUCGUAAAACUCUGUUAUUAGGGAAGAACAAAUGUGUAAGUAACUAUGCACGUCUUGACGGUACCUAAUCAGAAAGCCACGGCUAACUACGUG
RNAcentral lists this ribosomal RNA (497 nucleotides) under uncultured bacterium. RNAcentral's name for it is "partial 16S ribosomal RNA". It matches the Rfam family "Bacterial small subunit ribosomal RNA", at positions 28 to 507 of the family's 1533-position model. The record is from RNAcentral.